GUCAAACAUUUUUUUUAGGUUAAAAGUCCAAUCAGUACAAAAAGAUGUAUAACAAAAAGUGACUCAUCUUCCUCUGGUGUCCCCCAGCUCCCCUCCCCGCAGGCCACAGAUCCCUGUGUGUCCCUCCACAGAUGUGCUGCACUUCUAUGAGCACAGUCACCAGACACCUCUUAUGGGUCAGACAGCAGCUGGGCAUCAGAGUCACAUGGCACUUUUUCAAAAUGUCAAGGGGCCAGCCCGGUGGUGCAGCGGUUAAGUGCGCACAUUCUACUUCCUGGCGGCCCGGGGUUCGCCAGCCCAGAUCCCGGAUGUGGACAUGGCACCGCUUGGCAAGCCAUGCUGGGCAGGCGUCCCACAUAGAAAGUAGAGGAAGAUGGGCACAGAUGUUAGCUCAGGCAGGGUCAGUCUUCUUCAGCAAAAAAUAGGAGGAUUGGCAGCAGUUAGCUCAGGGCUAAUCAUCUUCAAAAAAAAAAAAAGUUUUCGAGACUCAGGACCCUUGUCAGACCUCUGGAGGUAGAAUUCCUAAAAUUGGAGCCAGAGUGUCUACAUUUUUUUAAGCCAGUGUUUUCUGUUGCUCAACCAGGCGGAGACCUCUGUACUCAAGAUGCAACGUCCCAGACACAAUUCCUGCUCCCCAGUCCCCUGAAGUCUGCCAGAGAUGGGCCCGGAGCUCCAACUACCUGGGCCACUGCUCAGAGUUGUACAGACUGUACCCUGCGCAGGGGCACCCAGACAAGCCCUGAAAUCUGGUCAAACCCUCGAACCAAGGCAGGUGACACCACAUCCAACCCCCAGAGGCGCUGGCACCACCUUCGAAUUUACUAUGUCAACUGUUCCAUGUGAAUGCAGGGAGACCUGUUCUGUGAUGCAGCAGCGCAGGCGGGGGCCCUCAGUCUGGCUGCAGGCCCGGGAUGACUUUCUGCAGGAGGUGAUGCUUGGGCCAAGUUUUGUAUAGAGUUGGAAUCAAAGAAGGCGGGCCUCUACCUGUACAUACUUCUCUCUCCCAGGUCGCCCCACUCCAACCCCGACCCCACAGCUCUGUAUGCUUAUCAGGGGCCACUGGCGGGGACACUUUAAUAACAAUGUACAUCCUGAAGGUCCUGGGAGACAGACUGGGAUGGAAGGAGGGAUCCAGCCGUAAGUCAGCGCAGCGCGCCUGGCCUGGGACAUCUUGAGGUUAAUUGACUUGGUGUCCAGAAGUACCUGCUUAGGGGAACAGGGAUGCAGGAGCCUUGUUCCUUCUGGCAAUCUGAGAGGUUCUGCAACGCCAGCAUCCACCUCUCAACAGCCUGAAUCGAUGCUAUCAAAGAGGUGUCCUCAGACCACGGCCAAUCCACAGACUGUUACCCAUCUGCAAUGAGCUAAGUACAGAAAUGGAAAGUAAGCAUUUAGAAACUUUUAAACAAUCUAACAAGGUCGGUUAAAGUCGAGGCUAGUAUUGUGCAUCUUUUUUUAAAUUUCAUUUUAUCUAUUAAAAUUUUUUAUUAUAAAAUAUACCGUUUUAACUAUUUUUAAGUGUAUAAUUCAGUGGCAUUAAGUACAUCCACAAUGUUAUAUAACCAUUACCUCUAUCUUGUAUAUUUCUUUCUUUCUUUUUUUUUUUUUGAGGAAGAUUCGCCCUGAGCUAGCAGCCACCGCCAAUCCUCCUCUAUUUGCUUAGGAAGGCAGACCCUGAGCUCACAUCCGUGCCCAUCUUCCUCUACUUUAUAUGUGGGACGCCUGCCACAGCAUGGCUUGACGUAGCACGUAGGUUCCGCACCCAGGAUCGGAAUCAGCAAACCCCGGGCUGCUGAAGCGGAAUGUGCGAACUUAACCACUGUGCCACCGGCCUGGCCCUCGUAUAUUUCUUUAAUUUUGCAAAAGUAUAAGUUCUCAGCAGAUUAGAAAAAAAUUUUUAAUGUCGUUUGAGAAGCACUGGCCUCAAUGUUGACCUCUGGGUUCCCAAAGCCUCAAAGGCUUGGGGGAAAUAGGCACCUGAUUGAAGGGCUUGUACAUUGUUUGGCUUCAUUUCCCCAAACUGUUGAGAUUUGCCCCAGAGAGUGGCAUGGCUGAGGCCCAGCCUCCCUGGGCUGGAGGAGCGGACGGAUGGGCACCAACCUGGAAGGGAGUGGAGGAGGCCUUGUGCUCCCCGGGCUGGGCAGAGGAGUGCUCUCCGGGGAAAGGCCUGCCCUGUGCCCUGGGCAAGGGGGCCCAAUGAGAUGCUGCAGGAUGUUCUGGCAGCCUUUCCCCCACUCAGCCGGCGGGGGGAGGCGAGUUGGUUUAGACUUCCAAGAAUGUCAGCUCCGACUGGAAGGGCCCUCAGUGACCCUGUUGUCUGCCCUCCUUGUUUAGAGGAAGAGCUUGAGGCUGGAGAGAAAGGACUUGCCCAAGGUUACAGCCAGUUAGUGGUGCUCCCAAAUCUAGGCCUUUCAGUUCCCAGGCAGGAGCGGGCCAGAGGUGUCUGGAGUCACACAGGAUGGGAUCAAGUUCUAGCUCUAUUAGCGCCAAGGGGCCUUGGGCAUCUGUACCCUCAUCUGUCAAAUGGGGAUAAUCCCUCACAGCUGGACGCGUACUGAGCCUGUGCUGGGUUUAAGGAGGGGCCUAGCCCAGGUUGGGGGAUAGGCAGGACGAGUCAGUGCCCUGCCCCUCCCUGCCCCUUCCUGCCCAGUGUUCCUCCUGCCGACUGCUGGGGCUUCUCAGCCUGCCACGGCCCCUUGCUGCAGCUGAGGGGACAGAGGAAGACAGACCCUCUCCCUCCAGACUGAGAAGAACAGGGGGCUCAUAACCUACCCCACCGGCCCCUCUGAGCCUCUCCCUCCCCAGCUGGCCAGCCCUCCAGGCCCGACCCCUCCGCUAACUCUCUGGGCAUCUUUGAGACAUUUUUGUCCUUUCUGGGACUCAGAACAUUUAUAAAAUGAAGGAGUUGAAUCAGAAGAACUCGAAAGUCCAUUUUGAGGAGUGGGUGCUGAAGUUUGGAUGCUUUAAAUUUCUGUAUCUUUUCUGGGAGAGUUAAACUCCCAGCAUGUCAGACUGGGCCGCCUCGGGUUCCUGGCCACCUGCCUCCCUCUGUUCUUGCCUUUCUCCGUACUUUCUCUCUCCCUCCAGUCUCUCUUUUCUCUCUUAUGGCUGAGGUGUUUUGAGCGCUUACCAUUUGCUAUGCACUGUUUAAGCAUUUUACAUAUUCCAUCCUGUGGAAUCCUUAAAACAUCCUUGUGAAGUAAAUACUAUUCUUAUCCCAUUUUCCAGACAAGGAAACUGAGGUUCGGAGAGUUACGUCACUGACCCACAGCUGGUCAGUGGGAGCGCCAUAGGAGGCACUGACACCAUUCCCCAGAUGGGCAGUUCAUUCUGGCCUGAAUUCACCUAAUUCAAAAUGGCGGGUGCCUGUUCUCACCUCCUCCCUCCUGUUUUCCCCAAAUGGGCUCUGACUCCCACCCCAGAGACGCCCCUGCUGGGCGCAUCACCAGGGCCGUCAGGGAGGAGGGUUUGGCUGUUGGUGGGCAGAGGAUCACUCCUCGGUUCCAGUUUCUGACUUGUAUCUCAGGUAUCAGGCCUCUACCUUCCACCUCCUUCCUCUCCUUUCUCUUCAGAUGUCCAAGAGCUGGAAGGUCCCCUAAGGGAUUACCCAGAACAGGCCUCUGCAUUCAAUCACUUAUUCAUUCACUGAACAAGUACAUUUCGAGUCCUCCUACCUGCCAGGCAGUGUUAGGCCCUGGGGAGACAGCUAUGUACAGGGCAGACAAGCUCCCUGUCCUCAAGAGCUUACAUUCUGGUGGAGGAGACAGACAAUAACAAAAGAUGAUGAGUGCAAUGGAGAACAUGAAAGGGGUGCUGUGACACACAGUGACCGCAGCAGGGGCGAGGUCCUCUACAGAGUAGGUGGGCAGGCGGCAGUGCACUCCUGGCAGAGAGAACAGCUAGUGCAAAGACCCAAAGGCAGGAACCAGCAGGUGUGAGGAAGGAGCACAAAGCCCUGCAUGGCUGGAGAGGAUGAGCAAGGGGCCCAGGGCAAGGGGGCUGGGCAGCGCCAGCCAUGCAGACCUUGGGCCAGGACGAGGGGUCGCAUUCUGUUCUGUGUGUGAUGUGAAGCCUCUGGGGACUUUAAGCAGGGGGUGAUUAUGUUUGUAAAGGACUCUUGGGCCACUGCGAGGAGAGUGGAUGUAAGGGGAGCAGGAGUGCGGGAGGGAGAAAUGAGGGUGGCUUGGACUAGGGGGGGUCAAUGCGAUAAAGAGACAAGGUCAGAUUCAGAGUCUAUCACAGUGGAGCCAACAGGAUGCUGAUGGAUGAGAUGUGGGCCGGGGCGGGGUGGGGGGGGUGAGGGAUGCCCCCUGGGGUUUUUCGCCUGGGCAGCUGAGUGAAUGGAGGUGUCAUCUACUCAAAUGGAAAAGCCUGGAGAAGGAACCCGGAUGGAAAGAAGCAAUGUUUCCACUUAACCUUCAUGGCAGACCCUGCUAGCUGGCUUCCCAGCAAAUCUAUUCUCUCUCCUUCUUUUUCAUAAUAGAAGGCCGAAAGGUUUUUUUUUUUUCUUCAAGCAUUGACCUGUCUGUCCCCUCCUUCUGCCUUUUGCCCUUUUCCCAUCCUCCUUUCUCCGGCCUGGAAUGGAGACAGGAUACUAGAGAUACAGCAGCCAUCUUGUGACAACUAGGGUAGAGGCCACUGGAUAAGAUAGCUGGAGCGGGGAGAUAGAUGGCGCCUGAGCCCUUGAUACUAUCACUGAGCUGGCAUAGCAGUCUUUGACUGCCUUUCCCCCGGGUUCUUGUUGUGGGAGGCAAAUUAAUCCUUUUAUUUGUUUAAGCCACUGUUUUGUGGCUUUUCAUUGCUUGCUGCGGAAUGCAGUUGUUGCUAACAGAGUCAUGUUGAGUUUGAGAUUUUGGAGGAGAAACCAGAAUUCAGUCAUUCAUUCAAGAAAUAUGUAUUGAGGACCUACUAUGCGCCAGGCACUGCUGAGAAUUCAGCAGUGGAUCAAACAGGUAAAAAUGCCUGCCCUUGAGGAGUUUAUACUCUGGAGUAACCUAGAAGCCGGACCUGACUUCUGGGCUAUGCAUUCUCAUUUGAUCCAAAGGUGGUAAGAUUUGAACUAUAAAGAGGGGACAGGGGUAAAAUGUGGCCUGUCUAUUCUCACAGGCUUCCUCAUCCACCCAUUAUGUUAGCAAAUUGAAAAUCAACAUAUUGGGGCCCGCCCCGGUGGCGCAGUGGUUAAGUGCGCGCGUUCUACUUCAGCGACCCGGGGUUCGCCGGUUUGGAUCCCGGGUGUGGACAUGCCAUCACUUGGCACGCCAUGCUGUGGUAGGCGUCCCACACAUGGAGUAGAGGAAGCUGGGCACGGAUGUUAGCUCAGGGCCAGUCUUCUUCAGCAAAAAGAGGAGGGUUGGUGGCAGAUGUUAGCUCAGGGCUAAUCUUCCCCAAAAACAAAUUAAAAAAUAAAUUUAAAAAAUUAAAAAAAAAAUCAACAUACUUCUCUGGUGUUUUCUAUAAGCCAAACACUAGGCUGCAUUCUCUCUCUGUGAGGGAGGUGUUAUUAUUACCAAGCCCAUUUUGCAGGAUGGUAAGCAAGCCGCCUCUGUCACACAACUAAGUGGCUGUGCUGAGAUUUGAACCCGGGGCUUUCUGACUCCAGAAACUCCACUGCACUCACUGACCCCCUGGGCCACCUCUUGGCCCCCUUUUCCUGCAAUCCUUUUGAUCACUGUUUGACAAACCAUUUCCUGCUUCCCCUUUCUCCUUGCUUUGGACAGGUACUAUGUCUCUUAUUCAUCUGUAUAUUCCGGGCACCUAACGAGGGCCUGGCACCCUUCAUCCAUUCAUCCCACUUUUCAAAAAAUGUUCUCUGUGCCAAUUGCUAGGAAUACAGGACAAGUCACAGAACAGCACACCCAGCCUAGGAGGGGGACAGGCAAUUAACAGGCGUCACAGUGUGGUGGGUGCUGGUAGGUAUCACAGGGGCCAAGAGAAGCACAGAAAAGGGCAACCAAGUCAGACUGAGGUGGUGGGGACCAGUCAACCAGUCGUGGAGGAGUCAGCAUCUGAGCUGAGUCCCAAAGGAGAAACAGGAGUAGAGCAGGUGAAAAAGCAGCCGUGGGUGUUUCAGGUGGAGGGAGCAGCACGUGGAGGAACGAGAGAGGCAAGACGGCAGCCUGUGGGAGCGACUGGACUAUGACAUGGGGGGAGUAGGGAGGCAUGAGGCUGGGGGAGGAUCUCAAGGCCCUCAGCCAGGGCUAGCAGUUUGGACUUGAUUUGGUAGGCACUGGGGAGCCGCCAAUGGGCGCUGAGCAGUGUGGGCCCUGGUCAGAUUUGCCUGGGCACUCUACAAAUACUUGAUGGAAUGAAUGAAUGAAAGAAGAAAUGGUAACUAUGGGGUCCCAUGCAUGUGUCCUGCAGAGAGGAGGGGGCGGUUAAUGAUCUGGCAGUGGAAGGACAAGGCAGGCAGACUCCCGGACACGAGCCAACCACUUCCCUCAGCUCCUCCUCCCUGGGCCUGUGACUCCCCUGCCUGGACACUAGUCACUUGCUGGGAUCUUUACGGGAGCCUCUGCACUAGUCCCCCUCUUUCUGCCCUGGCCUCUACAGUGUGUUCUCUAACACAGCCCCGGUGACCCUCUGAAGUCGGGUUCUCCACCCCAGCGCUCUGCCCAACCCCUUUGCCACCUCAGCUACAUCAAAAUGGAAGAAGAAAUUGCUGCUCUCGGCGUUUACAAUGGCUCUGGCAUGUGCAAAGUUGGCUUUAGCGGAAUGAUGCCCCCAGAGCAUCAUGGGAAAUGUGGGACAGGACAGAUACAUGGGUGAUGAGCUCAGAGCAAGAGCGACGUUCUGAGCCUGAAGCGCCUCAUUGAACUGGGCUGACAUGGAGAAAGACCUGGCAUCACACCCUCUACCCCCAGCUUCCUGUUGCCCCAAGGAACACCCUCUUCUCUUUACCAAAGUUCCACUGACCCCCAAGAGCAAUAGGGAGAGGACGGCCCAGCUCAACACCCUCCAGGCAUGCUGCUGCCCGGGUCGGGCCCUCCUCCAGGUGGUUGUGGACUCUGGAGUAGUGUUGCCCUCACAGUGCCUAUCAGUGAGGGUGACACCCUGCCCUCAGUGAGGGUGACACCCUGCCCUACGCCGGCCUCUGGACUUGACUGACCGUGACUUGGGAGAUGACCUCCUGGAGGAGAGCCUGACGGAAAGAGGUUACAGCCUCGCUACCACAGCUGAGAGGGACUGGUGUGUGACGCGGAGGGAAAGCUCUGCUGCAUCACCCUGGACCUGGAGCAGGAGAUGGCCCCCGCUGUGUCCUCCGCUUCCUCCCCGGAGAAGGGCUGUGAGCUUCUGAUGGUCAGGAGGUUGUCCUUGGCCAUGAGAGGUCCAGAUGUCCAGAGCGUCUCCUCCAGCCCUCGUUCCUGGGCUUGGCGUCCUGUGACAUUCAUGAAACCACUUUUAACUCGGUUCUGAAGUGUGCGAUUGACCUCUGAAAGGAUCUGUGUGCCCACACAGCAUUGCAGGGGGGCCAACAGAACGCAGGGAGAAAUCACGGCCAAUGAAGACAGUUUCUCCUUAGGCACUAAAAAUCCGGAGCGGUGGCUUCCUUGCAGGCUGCUCUCUCCGCCUUCCAGCAGAUGUGGAUCAGCAAGCAGCAGGGGGACGGGUCAGGCCCUCUGACUGUCCGCUACAAAUGCCUCCAAUGAUGCAACUGCAGAAUGUCUGUUGCAUGAGUUCAUUCACAAGUAUAACUUUACCCUGGCAAAAUAUAUACGCUUACGCUGGCCUCCUGAAACUGGAGCAGCUUUUGAGAAGAAAUCUGCCCAAUACUGAAAUGAACACCAUCCUCGGGUUGUAAAAUAAGAGAGAUGCUUCCGGAGGCCGGAGACUGAGCCUGUCCUGUUCUGUCCUGUGUCCCUGGCACCUGGAAUAGGGCCCAGCACACAGUAGAUGGAGAAACUGAGGCCCAGAGAGGGGAAGCGAUGUGUCCCAGGUCACAGAGAAAGCUAGCGACAGACAAUGGACUCAAACCCACGGCACCGUCUGGGCUUUUGCCUCUCUUCUCGUCCCGUCCUUCUGUCCCGCCCACCCUUUCCUCCCACAGGCCUGCAGCCAAUCUUUCCCAAGUGCCACUUUGGGCCAGCCUGGUGCCCUGGGCCCUGGGCUUCCUGCCCUGGAAGCUCAGGCUGCCUGAGGCUAUGUCAUUGCCACUUCCUCCUGUCAGACCUCCAGAGCUGCCUGCCCCUCCUCCCCACACCCUGUCCCGGCCACAGACUCUGCUACUCGUUUAAAAAUCCUGAUGCCCAGGUUGCUCCCCAGACCAAUGAGAUCAGAAUGUCUGGCGGGGGGGGGGGGGGGGGGGGGGGGGGGGAGGGGAUGGUCCAGGCAUCAGGGUUUUUUUUUUUUAAGAUGUCGGGGUGAUUCCAUUUGUAGCAAAGUUUCGAAACCUCUGUUUUAGCCUUGAUAAAUGGCACCUCCACCUCCUGUUCCUUGGCCCCUAGGCUGCAGAUAUUCUUUCUCGGGAUCUACUUUCUGGAUGCCUGGGCCUGGGCCCCAGGACAGUCCUCAGCUGGGCAAUCCCAACUCCUUCCUGCUCCUGCCCUUUGCCCAACAGGUCUCCGGUCUGCCGAGAUUGCCUGUUCUGAUCUGCCUCACCACUGCCAGGAACUCACUAAAUAUUUGUUGGUAAUGAUGUUGAUAAAUAUUUGCUGUUAAUGACCUCAGUCUGACCAAGAGGAUCCUUGAUGUAGAAGAAAGAAAAGGGCUUUUUUUUGGUGAGGAAGAUUGGCCCUGAGCUAACAUCUGUUGCCUAUCUUCCUUUUUUUUCGUUCCUCUCCACAGCCCCGGUACAUAGUUGUGUAUCCUAGUUGUAGGUCAUUCUAGUUCUUCUAUGUGGGACGCUGCCACAGCAUGGCUUGAUGAGUGAUGUGUAUGUCUGCGCCCAGGACCUGAACUGGGGAAGCCCAGGCUGCGGAAGCAGAGCACAUGAACUUAACCUUUUGGCCGUGGGGCGGGCCCCAAGAAAAGGGCUUUGAGAUUCGCCUUUUCUGGACAUUUCAGAUCAAUGCAAUUGUGCAGCACGCGUGUCUUGCACCUGGCUUCUUU
Equus asinus (donkey) is the source of this 9042-nucleotide long non-coding RNA. The record is from Ensembl. NCBI's taxonomy places the organism in Eukaryota, Metazoa, Chordata, Mammalia, Perissodactyla, Equidae.